Molecule: RNA transcript, 2225 nt
Organism: Meriones unguiculatus (Mongolian gerbil)
Lineage: Eukaryota; Metazoa; Chordata; Mammalia; Rodentia; Muridae
Gene: Eef1e1
Gene name: eukaryotic translation elongation factor 1 epsilon 1
Exons: 5
Source: RefSeq, a predicted model, not a curated record
GCUAGCCCCGCCCCUCCGCCCAGGAGCCGGGCCGGAAGAUGGCGGCGGCCGCGGAGCUGAGGCUGCUGGAGAAGUCUCUGGGACUGAGGCCUGGGAAUAAGUACAGCGCCCAGGGCGAGCGGCAGAUUCCAGUUCUACAAACAAACAAUGGUCCAAGUCUAAUGGGAUUAAGUACCAUCGCGACCCAUCUAGUCAAGCAAGCCAAGAAGGAACACUUGCUGGGGAGCACUGCAGAAGAAAAGGCAGUAGUUCAGCAGUGGCUAGAGUUCAGGGUCACUCGAGUAGACGGACACUCCAGUAAAGAAGAUACCCACACUCUGCUGAAGGAUCUUAACUCCUAUCUUGAAGAUAGAGUCUACCUGGCAGGACAUAGCAUCACGCUGGCGGACAUCCUGCUGUACUACGGGCUUCAUCGCUUUAUAGUUGACCUGACAGUUCAAGAAAAGGAGAAAUACCUUAAUGUGUCUCGCUGGUUUUGUCACAUUCAGCACUACCCAGACAUCAGGCAGCAUCUGUCUACUGUUGUCUUCAUCAAGAACAGACUGUACGCUAACUCCCGCUAGAAGCCCCUGCUGUGCAGCAGCCAGAUUAGACGUAUGAUGGAAAGCGUAUUUUGGACCAUGGCACUGUUUACUGAGGUGAAGCUAACUGCUGGAGGGAAUUAAAUGCAUUCCUCUAAAGCUAAAGACUUCCUCUUGUUAGGCAUAUUGAAAGCUGGAGUGACUAAACUGGGCUUCGCCAUCUCAUUGUUUCAGCGAGAGCCCACAAGCCCUCAGUCUGCAUCACAGCACCGAGCAUAGCAAAGACGCUGUUAGCCAAGGCUCCGUUCAUGCUGUAGCUCUCACUGGUAUAAUAGGUCAUUGACAGUUAAAGAGUUUGUCUUUCCAAAUAAGAGAAGUGGAGUCAGGCAUAGCGUGGCCUCUCAUGUUUGUGUGGCUAAGUGAGAAAGAACCACAGACCCAAGGCCAGCCUAGACUGGACAGGGAGACUUGCACUUAAAGAAAACAAUGAAGAGCUGGAGUGUAAAUCAAUAAUGGAUUAUGUGCCCAGCAUGCACAAGGUCCUGUGUUCAGUCCCCAUUGCCAGGAGAGACAGAAGGGAGAGAAUUUUAGGUGUUAUGAUUCAAAGUUCCAGGGAAAGAGCAAAAAAAAUUAUGAAUAUUGAGCACUUUGAGUCCUGUUUUUAAUCAUUAAACAUGAUUUUAAGCAAAGCAAAAUCCCCACUUUGUUUUUGGUCUUUCAAGACAGGGUUUCCCUGUAUAACAGCCCAGGCCAUCCUGAACUCACUUUGUAGACCAGGCUGACCCCACACUCAGAGAUCUGCCUGCCUCUGUCUCCUGAGUGCUGGGAUUACAGGUGUGCAUCACCACUUCCCACCAAAAGCCCCACUUCUAAACAUUACUACAGUAGAAACCAAGUUUUCAACCCUUGCACUUUGGGAGACAUCUUAGUUCCAAAGUGUAAGUGUUCUGUAAAAUAAAUGUAUUUAAAAGUUUAAAGACCAAAUGAAAUGGGUACACACCCAUUGUAUAGCUCAGUAAAGUAGCUUAAUAAAUGAGAAUUGGACAGACUGCUCUCAGCCUCUCUCAGUGAUGGGACGCUGGCUGAGUCAAUGAGUCUGAUGAAAUCCGUCUCUUGAAGCAGAGGUAAAGAUCACUAAUCUUGCCUCACUACCAAUGAUAAUCAUAAAAACUACAGCCAGCCUCUUCCCACCCGCCAUCCCUAAGAUGCCAGGCUGCUCAGUGUGUGAAUCCAUCUGAGAGAAGACAAAAAGCAGCAGCACAUCAUAUAAUUGUGGGGGAAAAAAAAAAAACAUUCACAUUACUGCCGUUAUAGUCUGGUCCUUGCUUCCUUCAAGAUGCCGAACGAGAGACCAUACGAUUGUCUAUAACUCGCUUCUGCAAUGUCUGUGAGAUGCACCCAAAAUGUGGCCACUCAAAUGUAUGCUGUUCCUUUUUGAAAAGUAAAUGCCUCCUCCCACCAUUUCUCUCUGUAAUGCCCCAAAACCUGCUUCACUGACCAUUCAGUGAUUGCCCCAAGUGUGUGCUCAGCUCUUGCCAUUGAUAGGCUUCAAGACUUGGGCAUACCAUACAGCACAUUCUUGCCCUCAAAGAAUCUACAGCCUGUCUUACCUGUGAACGGGCCCUGAGGCAGGGCACACAAAGCAUUCUUUUUGGGGGCUGCCUGACCCCACCAUUCUCUGGAAAUAAAAUACUAAGUAUUGAA